CUGUUGCUGGCACCCUUCAGCAAAGCUCUGCCUGAAUAAAGGUUUGUACUUAGCGAAACGCUGGACCAGCUUUCUCGUCCGUGCUUCCCGUGUCGCCUGCCCGCCACCGCUGAGCUGAAAUCACUCGAGACCGUCUGAAGCUGCUCACACGCGCUUCGGCCCAGUCCUUUUCAGGGCUGCCUCUGGAGAAGUCGCGGUGCUCCGGGCUUUCCGUCGCUGCGGCAACUGGACACGGAGCAUUGCUUCAAGGAGGUGCCGAGGGACAAAGCUUUGUGUCUGGAAGCAGCAUCUGAGCAGGGUCAAAUACGAGUGGCAAAUCAACGUUGGCAGGGAUCUGCCGGAGGAGAGGAGUUUCUGGUGGGCUCCCAGUGGCAUCUGAUGGAGUGAUGGUGAGAGCAUCUCAUAGGGUCUGGGGGAGCACCUGGAUGCACUUGGACCCGGAGCACCGCUUAAAGGAGAUGGUGAGGGACAAAGCUUUUUGCCAGGAAGCAGCACCUGAACAGCUGAGCCACUGUGGAUUUGCAGGGGUGAUCUUUCUCCUUUUCCCUUUUGAUUUCACCUUGGCAGUCCCUCCCCGGUGCCCUCAAUCUGUCACAAGAAUUCCAAAAAAAAAAAGGCUGAGGAAACAGUGAAAAGAAGGGGUAUAGGUAAGGUGGAGUUCAGGUGUACCCCACCCCAAACCCUAAACAGCAGCCCUAACAGUGCCACCAUUUCCCUGAGACAGCUGCAGGCAGGAACCCUAAAGCAGGAGAGUUCCAGAACCCUCGAGAGCUGCAGGCAGUUCCCUGGUGCUAGGGCCAGCCAGGAGAUAGUGGGGGGACGAUCCGUAGGGUUGGGGAAACAGGGGGUUUCCCGCCCCGCCCCACCCUGGGCUCUCGGUCCCUCCGCAGCCGGGGAUUGCUCCCACCCCUCCUCGAGGCGGCGGUUGGCAGGGCUUCGUGCCUGGCCUCCGCAAAGAGUUCGGCUCUGUCAGCCUCUGCCCUGUCUCAGGGCCAAACUUAGGUAGGGUAGGGAGCAACUGUGGAUUGCCUGGUCCGGGCUAAUGGACAUCUCUUGGGGCCUAUGGAUAAGGAGCAUCCCCGGUUGCAAGCGUAGGGUUCUAACUAAGUUUGUAGGGUUCAGCGGGGGAGCUUGGCAGUGACACAGAGAGGUUGAGGGAGGGCUUCAGAGGUCGAGGGCUGGAGACAAACAGUGAAAAUAAAAGGGGUACAGGUUGGGAUAUAAGGUAGAGUACAGGACUAUUCAAACCCUAAACAGCAGCCCUAACAGCGCUCCCGUUUCCCUGAGGCAGCUGCAGGCAGGAACCCUAAAGCAGCAGAGUGCCAGAACCCCCGAGAGCUGCAGGCAGUACCCCUGGUGCUAGGGCCAGCCAGGAAGAGAUAGUGGGUGCUAGGGCCUACUGCUGUCAUAUAAGCUGGGGUUUCCAUCCUUGGGGUACCCUGGGCUCCCUGUCCCUCACUGACUGGAGAGUCUUCCUCCCCUCCUUGAGGUGGUGGUAAUUUGGCUGUGUCAGCCAAUACUGCUGUGAAGCAAGCCUCUGCCUCCCUGUGGGGUGAAGUGUGCAGCCCAUGAACCUGGGCAUUCUCUAGAGAAGGUAAGUGCUGGGUUUUCACAGAUAUGCCGCUAAGAUCCUGCAUUGAUAUUUGGUCUUCUAGAUUGUAGCUGACCAGGAGACGACAUCCUGGCGAUGGCAGGAACUUCCCGGAUAGCGCAACGGCCUUCCAGGGCGUCCUCGUGUGGAUCCUCCCCGCCGGGCAUCCGAGAGCUGAGUCGGAGGCUGCGAAUUGCAGAGGGGCUGAAAUCGGGGUGCCGGGUCGGGACUUGUGACCUGGGAUUAUGGAGUCAGCUUUGGGGACGGGGAGGUCCAGGCUGUGGCCCCUUAGGCCACGUGAAGGGAGAGCCUGACAUUUGUUCACAGUGCUGAGGUGUGCAGGACGGAGCAGCCCCAGGGCGUGUUGUAUCACUUGUCCAUCGUGCCUUCUGUGUCUUUUGUGCCUCUCGUGUUGUACGUGCCUCGCCUUAUCUCUUCUGGGGGCUUACCAGAAACCCCGGUGUCACUCGUAGCAUCUCUGAUCUCUGGGCUCCUCAGCCCGAUGCCAUCGAAGCUUUGCCUCAGGAGCUCUCAGAGGCCUUGGAAUCGCGUCUCUCUUUUAAAAGCAUCCGAUCGGAUGUCUUUUAGAGGUCUUGUUCCGAGCUGUGUCAACAGCCGUGCGCCGCGAGGAUCCAUUGCUGCGGCUUAGGUCUUGAAGAAACACAAAGAUAGGUAGAGGACUGUGGCCCUAAAAUUCUCGGGCAUCCGUCUUGGCAGUUGCUGGAGUUCGUCAUUCCAUCAGCAUCUUCUUCCUCCCGGGUUCUGCGAGCUUCAUCAGCUCGCCUUCAUUCUCACCCGGCUCAUCUCGUUCCACGUUCUCUCGGUCCUUGCGGCCAUUCUUGUGGCCCAGAGUUUUGUCUCCCCAUUGUGUCCCCUCGUCUGUUGUCUUGUGUGUCACGGGUGUCUGGGUGUAGUUGUCCUGGAGCUGCUCUGUCCUGCUGCCCAGCCUGGGUGUAGGUGUAAAAGGCCAAGUCUCAGGCCCCUGUAAUUUGAAAUUUGUCAUGUAGGGUGUAGUUGGAGUCUAGCGGGUGUUCCUAGAUUGACACAGGAUGUCUGGAACUGUGAAGUUACCCUGCAGCACUUUGACUUUUGUCUCAGCUUUCUUUCAGAUGCAGACGGAUGAAAUCGGUGGCAGAGCGCCCCAUCCAGGGUAAGGGGGUUCCCGUGAGAAGGAAGUAGAGCCAGCUAGCAGCAGUCAAGGUGAAGUGGGCAAGG
Poecile atricapillus (Black-capped chickadee) is the source of this 2806-nucleotide long non-coding RNA. RefSeq lists it as uncharacterized. Lineage: Eukaryota; Metazoa; Chordata; Aves; Passeriformes; Paridae. The record is from RefSeq and is a predicted model, not a curated record. The transcript has 3 exons.